UACAGAGGUCUCAAGCGUUGUUCGGAUUCAUUGGGCGUAAAGGGUGCGUCGGCGGCGCGGUAAGUCGGGUGUGAAAUUUCGGAGCUUAACUCCGAAACUGCAUUCGAUACUGCCGUGCUUGAGGACUGGAGAGGAGACUGGAAUUUACGGUGUAGCAGUGAAAUGCGUAGAGAUCGUAAGGAAGACCAGUGGCGAAGGCGGGUCUCUGGACAGUUCCUGACGCUGAGGCACGAAGGCCAGGGGAGCAAACGGG
Molecule: ribosomal RNA, 253 nt
Filed under: uncultured bacterium
Lineage: Bacteria
Description: partial 16S ribosomal RNA
Rfam family: Bacterial small subunit ribosomal RNA
Source: RNAcentral